Molecule: ribosomal RNA, 465 nt
Filed under: uncultured bacterium
Lineage: Bacteria
Description: partial 16S ribosomal RNA
Rfam family: Bacterial small subunit ribosomal RNA
Source: RNAcentral
GACGAACGCUGGCGGCGUGCUUAACACAUGCAAGUCGAACGGAAAGGCCCUGCUUGCAGGGUACUCGAGUGGCGAACGGGUGAGUAACACGUGGGUGAUCUGCCCUGCACUUCGGGAUAAGCCUGGGAAACUGGGUCUAAUACCGGAUAGGAGCCAUUUUUAGUGUGAUGGUUGGAAAGUUUUUUCGGUGUAGGAUGAGCUCGCGGCCUAUCAGCUUGUUGGUGGGGUAAUGGCCUACCAAGGCGGCGACGGGUAGCCGGCCUGAGAGGGUGGACGGCCACAUUGGGACUGAGAGACGGCCCAGACUGCGACGGGAGGCAGAAGUGGGGAAUAUUGCACAAUGGGCGCAAGCCUGAUGCAGCGACGCCGCGUGGGGGAUGACGGCCUUCGGGUUGUAAACUCCUUUCGCUAGGGACGAAGCUUUUUGUGACGGUACCUAGAUAAGAAGCACCGGCUAACUACGUG